Molecule: ribosomal RNA, 253 nt
Filed under: uncultured bacterium
Lineage: Bacteria
Description: partial 16S ribosomal RNA
Rfam family: Bacterial small subunit ribosomal RNA
Source: RNAcentral
UACGUAGGCAGCGAGCGUUGUUCGGAGUUACUGGGCGUAAAGAGUGCGUAGGCGGUUUUCUAAGUUUGGUGUGAAAUCUCCCGGCUCAACUGGGAGGGUGCGCCGAAGACUGGAAGGCUUGAGUAUGGGAGAGGUAAGCGGAAUUCCUGGUGUAGCGGUGAAAUGCGUAGAUAUCAGGAGGAACACCAGUGGCGAAAGCGGCCACCUGGACUGUACCUGACGCUCAAACACGAAAGCUAGGGGAGCGAACGGG